RNAcentral lists this ribosomal RNA (418 nucleotides) under uncultured bacterium. Its description in RNAcentral is "bacterial SSU rRNA". It matches the Rfam family "Bacterial small subunit ribosomal RNA", at positions 356 to 772 of the family's 1533-position model. The record is from RNAcentral.
AGGGAAUAUUGGGCAAUGGGCGAGAGCCUGACCCAGCCAUGCCGCGUGCCGGAUGAAGGCCUUCUGGGUUGUAAACGGCUUUUCUCAGGGAAGAAAAAGGGGAUGCGUCCCAAACUGACGGUACCUGAGGAAUAAGCACCGGCUAACUCCGUGCCAGCAGCCGCGGUAAUACGGAGGGUGCAAGCGUUGUCCGGAUUUAUUGGGUUUAAAGGGUGCGUAGGUGGCCCGUUAAGUCCGGGGUGAAAGCCCACAGCUCAACUGUGGAACUGCCCUGGAUACUGGCGGGCUUGAGAGUCGUCGAGGGUGGCGGAAUGGACGGUGUAGCGGUGAAAUGCAUAGAUACCGUCCAGAACCCCAAUUGCGUAGGCAGCUGCCUAGGCGACAUCUGACACUGAGGCACGAAAGCGUGGGGAGCGAA